AAAGCGAUAAAGAUCGUUUUGGGCUUAAAGAAACGUUCGGGUUUAAUUAGGCCCAUUGGGCUUUUAUUCAAGCAUUGGAUGACUUGAAAUAACAAAAGCCCAAAGCCCAAAAACAACACAAAGGGGCCGGCCACUUUAGGUGAGGAAAGGUGAGAUAUUUAGUCAAGUGUUGACUAGGUUUUCUUUUUGUCUAUAUAAGCAACUUUAUAGAGAUAAAGUUCAUUAGGGUUUUUGUGAGUUUUGAACAACAAAAGAGGCAAAAGAAAAUAGCUCUCUUGAACCACAAAAACCGGCCACCAAAGGGGGUUUUUACUAACAUCUCUUACACCCUUUUGGUUAU
This 340-nucleotide long non-coding RNA is filed under the name Malus domestica (apple). RNAcentral describes it as "long non-coding RNA (MDOM_LNC011195)". Lineage: Eukaryota; Viridiplantae; Streptophyta; Magnoliopsida; Rosales; Rosaceae. The record is from RNAcentral.